Long non-coding RNA from Oncorhynchus tshawytscha (Chinook salmon), 2523 nucleotides. The record is from Ensembl. NCBI's taxonomy places the organism in Eukaryota, Metazoa, Chordata, Actinopteri, Salmoniformes, Salmonidae.
CAAUCUGUAUCUGAUUAACUUGUAUGUAAACGUUUUGUUUUUGUUUUGUAUUGUGAGCUUCAAGCUUUGUGUGUUUUCUGUACCACAGUCAGGGCUGUUUUCCUGUUGUGAUGGGAGGGUUGUUGGGUGUAGACGUCUUUCACACGUGAUUUUAAGCACUUUCCAAAGAGUAACUUACAUUAUCUCUUACAUUAUCUCUUACAUUAUCUAUGACAGUAAUAAUUUACAGUAAUAAUUUGGACCUUUAUUUUUUGUUGUUCAGUUGAACUUUGAUACAAACACAACUACUAUACUAUGAUCAGGUGUGGAGCCUGACUUCCUGCUCUAUACUAUGAUCAGGUGUGGAGCCUGACUUCCUGCUCUAUACUAUGAUCAGGUGUGGGGCCUGACUUCCUGCUCUAUACUAUGAUCAGGUGUGGGGCCUGACUUCCUGCUCUAUACUAUGAUCAGGUAUGGGGCCUGACUUCCUGCACUUCCUGAGGAUGAUGUCAUACUUUCACUUUCAGCUGCUUGUCUCCCCUCUGGCAGGACCAGUCCAAAUAUAACAUGAAGGAUCCAUUGGCCUAGUGUGAGACCAUGAAAACCGUGAGGUAUCAUGGGUAAAUUGUGACUGACUGAUGUACAAAUAAUAUUAAGUAGUUAUUUAUGAUGCAAGGUGGUUUGUAGAUCAGUCAAGUCUCGUCUUUAAAUUCGGCGGCCAUGUCUAACGGUCCCAUUUUGUUUUUCUGGGCGGGAACAUACAUAGACCAUGUUACAUACAUGAUAUAUACACAUAGACCAUGUAUGAUUUAGUUGUAUUACCAUAGUGAUGAGACUUUUCUCCUGUAACUUUCACAGGAGUGUUUAUUUAUGAAUCCUUUUGUAUCAAAGAAAUACAUUGGAACAACCAAAACAACUGAGCCGCCCCAAAUAUAAAAGGAACAUUGUUAAUAUGAUUUGUUGAUAUGUUUUCAUUAAUUACUAAAGCAAUACUCUUUUAUAAGGUCAUUGUUAUUAUAUUGACAUCACAAAUGCAGAAUGUGUGGAUUAAGACGUGUUUUCUAAUUCUUUCAUCAACACACAUACGCAUUACUUUUUGUAAAUAAAUGUAUGGAGCUGUUCUGUUUCUCUGUAUAGUUGUACAGAGUAAAUGUGAUACAGCCUGGGAUUGAACCCGGGUCUGUAGUGACGUCUCUAGCACUGAGAGGCAGUACCAUAGAACGCUAUGUCACCCAGGAGGCUAUAGUGGACUACUCCUGACCGUGAUCCAUAGUCCACUGUUAGGAUAGAAGAUAGAAGAGCUGUGUCACAUGUCAAGGUGUCUGUAUUCUUCUGACUGGGUUUUGAAACUGUCACAAUAUCACCCCCCCAAAAAAAUGGAACUUUUGUAUAUUGUGAAUGAACUGGCUUUAGGGAGAAGGGUUCCGACAUCAUUCCACAACAGAAUGGUUCUAAUUUAGAAUGAUUCCUUUACAUUCCUUCCUAAAGAGCACGUAAAACAAACACAGCACUUGAUGACAGUUUACAGUUGACUAGCUUUAGGCUUUAGGUUGAGGAUGAUUCAACAAAUGUCUUGUUUUACCAGACUGUUAAAAGUAAGUAGAAAACCCCUGCCUGUUUACUGCCAAGGAAAAGUACUGUGAUAUUAUAUAUGAACGUCAUUUCACUCAUCAUUACAACCAGACGUAUAGCUCUCUAUUCAUCCUGGAUGGCUGAAACGUUACAGACUGUGCGGUAGAAAUGUAAAGGUAAUUUCAGAUGGAGACGACAUCUGCAGUGUUUACGGUAAAUGCAGUCUCCGCUAUAACGCGGGAACAUUGCCCUUAAAUUUAAAUCAAGCCGUACCGUUGUACUUCAGUGAUACGGAUUGCAUAGAGCGCUUCAAUAAUGACUUUGUCUGAUAAAUAUUUGAAUACUAAUCAUAAAAUACCCACUAGUUUCUAAAUGAUACGGUGGUGUUUCACAGCUUUACAGUUGGAAUUAAAGUUGAGACCCAGCAGGCAUAAUUUGGCGUGGGUACGUCAGAAAAGGAGAUCAGUUUAAAAUAUUUUCUAUCAAUUUUUCUAUCUACUAUUUACCCUUUUGGAAGAAAUAUGAAUUGAUUUUGUUUUAAAUCUCUCCUUGUUAUGCUUGAUGUCACAGUAUGAGUGAAAGCUUUGUGUAUAAAAGGUGUACUUUGGUAUGUGGCCAUUACAUAACUCUGUACCAGGGGUCUCCAACCCUGUAGGUUUACACUCCAACCCUGUUCCUGGAGAGAUAUUGUCCUGUAGGUUUUAACUCCACCUCCAGGACAGUAUCUCUCCAGGAACAGGGUUGGAGGGCCCUGUAUGUAACUACUAUACACAUUGACCAUGAUAUCACCAUAUCAUCACUAUAGAUAUCAAUAUGUUGUUGUUUACACCGUUGAAGCACUGUUAUGUCUUUUGAAUAUAUAAUAUGUAUCAUUUUUACCACAGUUUAAUACUAAUUUGUAAGAUUUUGUUUUCAUGGAAUCUGCCUGACUGGAUCUACAGAUUGUUUUAAAUUCUGAAUAAACCACCAGAA